This 223-nucleotide long non-coding RNA is filed under the name Cyanistes caeruleus (blue tit). RNAcentral's name for it is "lncRNA (ENSCCEG00000013688.1)". The record is from RNAcentral. Lineage: Eukaryota; Metazoa; Chordata; Aves; Passeriformes; Paridae.
CCAGGAUAGAGAGAGGGAAAUGGCAGGGUCAGAGCCCUGGGGACUCCUCUGUGGAAGAGUUGCUGAGGAGCUGUUUUCUCAGUGAGGGAAAAUAAAAUCCUCAAGGAGCCUCAGAUCCAAACCAUUCCAAUACACCAUUUUUCAUCAGCUGAAUUUCUCUUGGGAACUUAAUCAAGAAACAAACUCACCAGAAAUACCAUCAGUUCAAACUGAAAAGGUACCU